GUCUGUCAAGUCGGAUGUGAAAUCCCCGGGCUCAACCUGGGAACUGCAUUCGAAACUGGCAGGCUUGAGUCUUGUAGAGGGGGGUAGAAUUCCAGGUGUAGCGGUGAAAUGCGUAGAGAUCUGGAGGAAUACCGGUGGCGAAGGCGGCCCCCUGGACAAAGACUGACGCUCAGGUGCGAAAGCGUGGGGAGCAAACAGGAUUAGAUACCCUGGUAGUCCACGCCGUAAACGAUGUCUACUUGGAGGUUGUGCCCUUGAGGCGUGGCUUCCGGAGCUAACGCGUUAAGUAGACCGCCUGGGGAGUACGGCCGCAAGGUUAAAACUCAAAUGAAUUGACGGGGGCCCGCACAAGCGGUGGAGCAUGUGGUUUAAUUCGAUGCAACGCGAAGAACC
This 393-nucleotide ribosomal RNA is filed under the name Salmonella enterica subsp. enterica serovar Derby. Its description in RNAcentral is "bacterial SSU rRNA". It matches the Rfam family "Bacterial small subunit ribosomal RNA", at positions 578 to 970 of the family's 1533-position model. Lineage: Bacteria; Pseudomonadati; Pseudomonadota; Gammaproteobacteria; Enterobacterales; Enterobacteriaceae. RNAcentral also lists the same sequence under 2 other names. The record is from RNAcentral.